Molecule: microRNA precursor, 206 nt
Organism: Oryza rufipogon (brownbeard rice)
Lineage: Eukaryota; Viridiplantae; Streptophyta; Magnoliopsida; Poales; Poaceae
Rfam family: MIR812 microRNA precursor family
Source: Rfam
AAAAAGGCAAACCCUGAGUUUCCGUGUCCAACUUUGACUGUCCGUCUUAUAUGAAAUUUUUUUAUAAUUCGUAUUUUCAUUGUUGUUAGAUGAUAAAAUAUGAUUAAUAUUUUAUGCGUGACUUGUCUUUUUAAUUUUUUUCAUAUUUUUUUUCAAAUCAGACAGAUGGUCAAACGUUGGGCACGAAAACCAGGGUUUGUCUUUUU